This 113-nucleotide non-coding RNA is filed under the name Shewanella frigidimarina NCIMB 400. RNAcentral's name for it is "Ribosomal S15 leader as predicted by Rfam". It matches the Rfam family "Ribosomal S15 leader". Rfam says of the family: The E. coli Ribosomal S15 gene 5' UTR can form two alternative structures. One that is a series of three hairpins, The other includes a pseudoknot. Lineage: Bacteria; Pseudomonadati; Pseudomonadota; Gammaproteobacteria; Alteromonadales; Shewanellaceae. The record is from RNAcentral.
ACUCUGGCUGAGUUAGUGAUCGGCUUGAGAUACAUUUACUUUUUUUGGAGAUACACAUGUCACUAAGUGCUGAAACAAAAGCAAAAAUUUUGGCUGAUUUUGGUCGCUGCGAA